AACGGGUUAAGACAACAGGGAUUGCCCUAGUAACGGCGAGUGAAGCGGCAACAGCUCAAAUUUGAAAUCUGGCUCUCGGGCCCGAGUUGUAAUUUGUAGAGGAUACUUUUGAUGCGGUGCCUUCCGAGUUCCCUGGAACGGGACGCCAUAGAGGGUGAGAGCCCCGUCUGGUUGGAUGCCAAAUCUCUGUAAAGUUCCUUCAACGAGUCGAGUAGUUUGGGAAUGCUGCUCUAAAUGGGAGGUAUAUGUCUUCUAAAGCUAAAUACCGGCCAGAGACCGAUAGCGCACAAGUAGAGUGAUCGAAAGAUGAAAAGCACUUUGAAAAGAGAGUUAAAAAGUACGUGAAAUUGUUGAAAGGGAAGCGUUUAUGACCAGACUUGGGCUUGGUUAAUCAUCUGGGGUUCUCCCCAGUGCACUUUUCCAGUCCAGGCCAGCAUCAGUUUUCCCCGGGGGAUAAAGGCGGCGGGAAUGUGGCUCUCUUCGGGGAGUGUUAUAGCCCACCGUGUAAUACCCUGGGGGGGACUGAGGUUCGCGCAUCUGCAAGGAUGCUGGCGUAAUGGUCAUCAACGACCCGUCUUGAAACACGGACCAAGGAGUCGUCUUCGUAUGCGAGUGUUCGGGUGUCAAACCCCUACGCGUAAUGAAAGUGAACGCAGGUGAGAGCUUCGGCGCAUCAUCGACCGAUCCUGAUGUUCUCGGAUGGAUUUGAGUAAGAGCAUACGGGGCCGGACCCGAAAGAAGGUGAACUAUGCCUGUAUAGGGUGAAGCCAGAGGAAACUCUGGUGGAGGCUCGCAGCGGUUCUGACGUGCAAAUCGAUCGUCAAAUAUGGGCAUGGGGGCGAAAGACUAAUCGAACCUUCUAGUAGCUGGUUUCCGCCGAAGUUUCCCUCAGAUAGCAGUGUUGAACUCAGUUUUAUGAGGUAAAGCGAAUGAUUAGGGACUCGGGGGCGCUAUUUAGCCUUCAUCCAUUCUCAAACUUUAAAUAUGUAGAGCUCUGUUGCUUAAUUGAACGUGAGCAUUCGAAUGUAUCAACACUAGUGGGCCAU
This 1046-nucleotide ribosomal RNA is filed under the name Fusarium sp. RNAcentral's name for it is "LSU rRNA". It matches the Rfam family "Eukaryotic large subunit ribosomal RNA", at positions 49 to 1134 of the family's 3401-position model. Lineage: Eukaryota; Fungi; Ascomycota; Sordariomycetes; Hypocreales; Nectriaceae. The record is from RNAcentral.